GACGAACGCUGGCGGCGUGCCUAAUACAUGCAAGUCGAGCGGACGAAUCGAAAGCUUGCUUUUGAUUCGUUAGCGGCGGACGGGUGAGUAACACGUGGGCAACCUGCCCUGUAGACGGGGAUAACACCGAGAAAUCGGUGCUAAUACCGGAUAACACGAAAUGUCGCAUGACGUUUCGUUGAAAGACGGCGCAAGCUGCCGCUACAGGAUGGGCCCGCGGCGCAUUAGCUAGUUGGUGAGGUAACGGCUCACCAAGGCGACGAUACGUAGCCGACCUGAGAGGGUGAUCGGCCGCACUGGGACUGAGACACGGCCCAGACUCCUACGGGAGGCAGCAGUAGGGAAUCUUCCGCAAUGGACGAAAGUCUGACGGAGCAACGCCGCGUGAGCGAAGAAGGCCUUCGGGUCGUAAAGCUCUGUUGUUAGGGAAGAACAAGUAACGCAGUAACUGGCGUUACCGUGACGGUACCUAACGAGAAAGCCACGGCUAACUACGUG
This 498-nucleotide ribosomal RNA is filed under the name uncultured bacterium. Its description in RNAcentral is "partial 16S ribosomal RNA". It matches the Rfam family "Bacterial small subunit ribosomal RNA", at positions 28 to 507 of the family's 1533-position model. The record is from RNAcentral.